RNAcentral lists this long non-coding RNA (2424 nucleotides) under Medicago truncatula (barrel medic). RNAcentral describes it as "long non-coding RNA (MTRU_LNC003090)". Lineage: Eukaryota; Viridiplantae; Streptophyta; Magnoliopsida; Fabales; Fabaceae. The record is from RNAcentral.
GCAUAAACAAUUUUUCAAAAAAUCGUAGCGGAAUAAUUAUAUCAUACAACUCAUCAACGGAUAAUAAAAUUCUCCAAAGUAGCCAUGUUACAUAAUCAUACUACAUCAACAAAAUAAAACUCCAAAUCUCAACAACUGAGUGAAUAAGUCUCAUAAAGUCCGACUCUAAGACUCUAAGAAUCUGUAAUAGACAGACACCCCUAAUCAGAGCUCGACUCUAAGACUCUAAAAGCAAAACACAAGGUAGCUCCAAAGCUAGCCUCCAUCAUACUCACCAAGCAAAGCUAAACAACUAAUCAUGCACGCCGUCUACCCAUCCAUACGAAUAAGGUUGGUGGUCAACCAAACGACCAUUGGGGGUUAGAUAACACUUCACAAUUAAAGUAUAAUCAAAUUAAAGUAAAGCGGCAUAAUUAAUUUUAAAUGAUUAAACAACACUUAAUUAAAUCAUUUAUAACAACUCAACAUCGUUAAUAAUCAUUAAGCAUAUAAGUAUAAUAAUCAUACAAGUACACUUUCAACAUCUUCACAUAUUCACCAAAUUUCACCAAGUACAUAAUUCACCAAGUUGAUCAAUGCACAUAAAUCACCAAGGUUCACCAAGCACAUAAUCAAUAUGACACACUUAACUAAUUAUCAAAUGUAUGCAAUGCGCCUAGACACGACUCUAUAUGCAUGUGGUACCGGUCAUUGUCAAGGUCGUCACCUCAAGAUACAAAUGUAUCAUAAUCAUGUCGUUAAUACAAAGUAUUCUAGUCAUCGUCGUUGGAUGUAAACAUUCUAGUCAUCUUCACUGGAUAUAAAUAUCUUACUUAUCAAUGCAUGAACAUAUGGCUCAAUAAUGCAUACGUUCACUCAACAAAACAUCGUCAUCAAACAUCGUCACUUUUCAUACAUGCGGUCAUCAUCAAAAUCAUCAUCAUUUUGCAUGUAAGAAUUCAUCGUCAUUAUUAAAUCAUCAUCAUCGACAAUCACCUCAAAGAAAUAACAAAGUUUCAAAAUCAUAAUUCACAUCAAAACGGACAACUAACCACUUCAUGGCAUUCAACAUAUUAAACACCUACUCAUCAUUGAUUCAUUCUUAUUCUAUCAUAUUAUCUUAUGCACAAAGCCAAUUGCAAGUUAUCCGGUCAUGAAACCACAUUUUAACAAAGUUCGUCUAUUUUCAAAACUUUUAUCAUUUCCUACGUAAUUCACCAAAACAAAGCAUACAUGUUCAAACACCUCGAAAAAGCAUAGACACUAAUCACAUAUGAUCACAGUAGCAUAUACAUAUCCUCAUCCUAAGCCAAUUCCGAUUAAUUCCAAAGUUUCACCAAGUCCAUCUCAUUUUACCAUUUUCCAAAAGAAAACCAUUUUUCAAAGCAAGACCAAGUUAUAGGUCAUGAAUACCAUCCAAAACCAUUUCAUAAAUCAUAGUUACAGGAAACAAAAUUAACCUUACCCUUUUUCCUUGAGAAAAACGAGUUUUGGAAAAUUCAUGUUCUUGAACGUUUUUCAAAAAGUUUUGAUUCCAUUCACAAAACCAAGUUCAAUCCAAUUUAUUUGAUGUUUCCAAAGGUUUAGAAAGCAUGACAACAGUUAAAUACAUCAAAAUAAUCAUUUAGGAAAGUCCGGAUCGGCCCCGAAGUACCCGAAACACCCAAAACAUGGGGUUCUGCACUGUGCAACUCGCCACAACGAACUAGAACUCGCCCAACGAGUUACACCAGGAUAGAAACCCUGUUCUUGGGUUUUCCCUCUCGGGAACCCAUCAUUUUCACCCCAAAAUCCCGUUUUUGAUCCCCUUCGACCCAUAUUCGUCCCCCAAACUUGUUUAUUAGUUAACAUACAUCAAAAGGCAAUCAAAACAACAACAAAUAUGGGCUCAAACAUCAAUUCUCAUCAAAAUCAUCAAUAUGUUAAUUUUUCACCAAAACUCACAUUUUCUCAUUUUUCAUUCAAACUUCACAAACAACCACACAAAGUCAAACCCCAUCAACAUGCAAACAUAAAUAAACAUUUAUUAAGUGAAUUUAAGCAUGUUUCAACAAUAAUCACUCACCAAUUCAUUAAAUACACUUAGUUAAACAAAAAUCAUCAAAACAACUUAUCAACAACAACAACUAUGAAUUUUAAGCACAUAACAUAUCAAUUUCAUGAAGUUUAUCAUGCCCAUAAAUUCACAUGAAUUAAGAGCACGAAAUUCAUCAUAAAAAAUCACAAAAAAUCAUAAUUCACAAUAAUCACUUAUGACCCAUAAUUGAAAAGAUGAAAAUUAUAUAAUUAUGAAAAUAAUUUAUCCCCCUUACCUCUUGAAUCCACUAGCUUAGGCUUCAAUCUCCCCUAGCUCUUCAACCCAAAGCUCUCUCUCUUUCUCUAGCUUCAUCUUCUUUCCUCUUGUGAUCUGCUUUCUCCCUCUACCUCUUAGGUUUUUAAUUGUCA